This 72-nucleotide transfer RNA is filed under the name Cavia porcellus (domestic guinea pig). It matches the Rfam family "tRNA". Rfam says of the family: Transfer RNA (tRNA) molecules are approximately 80 nucleotides in length. The record is from Rfam by way of RNAcentral. Lineage: Eukaryota; Metazoa; Chordata; Mammalia; Rodentia; Caviidae.
GGCAAUGUAGCUGAGUGGUAAAGUACAUGCUUAAUGUGCAUGAGGCCCUGGGUUUGAUUCCCUGAACUGUGA